UGGGGAAUCUUGCCCAAUGGGCGAAAGCCUGAGGCAGCAACGCCGCGUGUGGGAUGACGGCCUUCGGGUUGUAAACCACUUUCAGUAGGGACGAAAAUGACGGUACCUACAGAAGAAGCUCCGGCCAACUACGUGCCAGCAGCCGCGGUAAUACGUAGGGAGCGAGCGUUGUCCGGAUUUAUUGGGCGUAAAGAGCGCGUAGGCGGCUUGGUAAGCCGGAUGUGAAACCCCCGAGCUCAACUCGGGGCGGCCAUUCGGAACUGCUAUGGCUAGAGUCUGGUAGGGGAACACGGAAUACCUGGUGUAGCGGUGAAAUGCUUAGAUAUCAGGUGGAACACCAGUGGCGAAGGCGGUGUUCUGGGCCAGUACUGACGCUGAGGCGCGAAAGCGUGGGGAGCGAACAGG
This 405-nucleotide ribosomal RNA is filed under the name uncultured bacterium. RNAcentral's name for it is "bacterial SSU rRNA". It matches the Rfam family "Bacterial small subunit ribosomal RNA", at positions 355 to 776 of the family's 1533-position model. The record is from RNAcentral.